This 376-nucleotide ribosomal RNA is filed under the name uncultured bacterium. RNAcentral's name for it is "bacterial SSU rRNA". It matches the Rfam family "Bacterial small subunit ribosomal RNA", at positions 790 to 1167 of the family's 1533-position model. The record is from RNAcentral.
GUAGUCCACGCAGUAAACGAUGAAUACUAACUGUUCGGAGGGCGACCUCUGAGUGGUAAAGCGAAAGCGUUAAGUAUUCCACCUGGGGAGUACGCCGGCAACGGUGAAACUCAAAGGAAUUGACGGGGGCCCGCACAAGCGGAGGAACAUGUGGUUUAAUUCGAUGAUACGCGAGGAACCUUACCCGGGCUCAAACGUCGGGCGAACCAUCCUGAAAGGGAUGGGCCAGCAAUGGCGGCCGACGAGGUGCUGCAUGGUUGUCGUCAGCUCGUGCCGUGAGGUGUCGGCUUAAGUGCCAUAACGAGCGCAACCCCCGCGUCCAGUUGCCAGCGAGUAGAGUCGGGCACUCUGGACGGACUGCCGGCGCAAGCCGCGA